CUAUCAACAAGCCUGCCUUAAUAGCAACCUGCUUCCUGGUCCCACUUUGAGUGCACCACUGCUUGGUGUGCUACUGAGGUUCAGAGAACACGCUGUGGCCAUCAGUGGAGAUAUCCGUGGCAUGUUCCAUCAGGUACGUCUCCUCCCUGAAGACCAACCACUUCUCCGCUUCCUGUGGCGCGAUUGUGAAAGAGAGCGCAUCCCAGAUGUCUAUGAGUGGCGUGUUUUGCCAUUUGGGACUACCUGCAGCCCAUGCUGUGCAACCUAUGCUUUGCAGCGUCAUGUGCAAGAACACAGUGAAGACAAUGAAGAUGUGGUCCAAUCUGUGCUGAAAGCAUUUUAUGUCGAUAAUUGUCUUCAGUCUCUGCAGUCUCAGGAUCAAGCCAGACAGCUCAUUGACAAGAUGAGAGCUCUUCUUGCCAGUGGAGGCUUUGAUAUGAGACAGUGGUCCAGCAACAUGCCUGAAGUUAUCACCCAUCUACCUCCUGAAGCCAAAUCAGCAGGAUGUGAGUUAUGGCUGACUGCAAAUAAGACCGACCCACAGGAGUCAACACUCGGUCUCCUGUGGCGCUGCAGAACUGACACUCUUGGCUACAAACACCGAACCAUCCCAGUGGCUGAACCGUCCAUGAGAUAUGUCUAUCAGGUUUUAGCCAGUCAAUACGACCCUCUGGGCUACAUUCUACCGUAUACCACGCAUGCCAAGGUCCUGGUUAAAGCCCUGUGGAGAAAGGAAAGAGGAUGGGAUGAGCCUAUUGUGGACAGUCUUCUCCCCAUAUGGGAAGCGUGGGAGAGCGAGCUCCCCCAGCUUCAACACAUCACACUGCCACGCUGCUACAUCGCUAAUGUUCCUACUGAUGCUCCGGUUGAACUACACAUCUUUUGCGACGCCUCAGAGAAAGCCUACGGUGCUGUAGCCUACAUGAGGGUUGAAGACAGUAAAGGAAAAGUACAGGUGGCAUUUGUGAUGGCAAGGUCUCGUGUAGCACUGAAGAAACAACUGUCAAUACCUCGCCUGGAGUUGUGUGCGGCCCUGUCAGGUGCAAAAUUAGCCAAGAUCUUGCUCACCGAGUUGACUUUGCCAGUAAGCAAACCAACACUGUGGACAGAUUCCACGACUGUUCUUCAC
Molecule: long non-coding RNA, 1129 nt
Filed under: Sparus aurata (gilthead seabream)
Lineage: Eukaryota; Metazoa; Chordata; Actinopteri; Spariformes; Sparidae
Description: lncRNA (ENSSAUG00010004015.1)
Source: RNAcentral